GCCUACACUUUUUUGCAAGAAAGUCACAGUGCCACGUGUGCUUGCUGAUUCAAUCUGGGAGGAGGACAGAGGUUUUCUCAUUCUGAUCAACAUCUCCAAGCUUGGGCUCAGUCUGCCAAUAUCUCCUGCCUCAUGAGUGAUAGCACUGCAGAGUGGAAUGGAUCACAUUCAAAAAGCUGGUCUGUACAAGCGUUUUAAGCUCUGUUCGUCCCUUUUUGGAGGACCUGUUGACUGUCAUUAUAUGCUGCACUGAAAGAACUACUCAAGAAGCCUUAUUCUCCGUUGGACCCAAAAGUAAUGAAAGAACGAUGGAUUCAUUGCAACUCCACAGGGUCAGUGCAACGUACCAGCACAUAAUGAGUUACAGUGUUUCGGCAGUCCUACAGAAUAUCACGGAAUAAAUCUAUUAUAGUUCCUUGUUUGCUGCUGAGAUAAGGAGCUGCGGAGAGCUGUGCUCUGGAAGAAGACUCUGUAGGGGAAAAAAGGUAAAUUAGGACCAAGCUAUUGAAUAUGCACUGUCACACUGUAUAUGGUUGUAAACUUGGCUUUCCAAGACCAAGGCAAUCUGAUUAAGCACGUUAUGCCAUGAGAGAGUCAUAAAGGUGCUUUUUUUCAAGUAGCAGCUCAACGUCAUAUAGUGAGGCCCAUUUCUUGAUGUUAUUAAUGUCUUUAUUGUAUUAUAUAUAGCAUAUGUCAUCUACAACUUUUUUAUGAUCUCAGAAUAUGGAUUGUAGAAUGCACCCUAAAACUGCAUAUGCCCGUAGGCUCAUAGAAAAUUUUAGGUGCAAAUGUAAGCUCAAAGCAGACUCCACUUCUUGUCCAGCAGCAUCCUAAGGUUCUUGUCAGCAGAGCUGCUUCCCAGCUUGUCCUAGCCUUUGCACACUUCAGCAUCAUACAGAAAUUGCCAACUCCUGGACCUAGACACCCAAUACAUACUAAAGUCAAACUACACGAAAGGCACUGCUCUUCUCUCAUUCAGCUAAUACAUGGCAGCAGAGAGAAGAUGUAAGAAUGUUG
Molecule: long non-coding RNA, 1017 nt
Filed under: Anser brachyrhynchus (Pink-footed goose)
Lineage: Eukaryota; Metazoa; Chordata; Aves; Anseriformes; Anatidae
Description: lncRNA (ENSABRG00000019881.1)
Source: RNAcentral